This 500-nucleotide ribosomal RNA is filed under the name uncultured bacterium. RNAcentral's name for it is "partial 16S ribosomal RNA". It matches the Rfam family "Bacterial small subunit ribosomal RNA", at positions 30 to 523 of the family's 1533-position model. The record is from RNAcentral.
AUUGAACGCUAGCGGGAUGCCUUACACAUGCAAGUCGAACGGCAGCGCGGACUUCGGUCUGGCGGCGAGUGGCGAACGGGUGAGUAAUGUAUCGGAACGUGCCCAGUAGCGGGGGAUAACCACUCGAAAGAGUAGCUAAUACCGCAUACGCCCUACGGGGGAAAGGGGGGAAUCGCAAGACCUCGCACUAUUGGAGCGGCCGAUAUCGGAUUAGCUAGUUGGUGAGGUAAAGGCUCACCAAGGCGACGAUCCGUAGCUGGUUUGAGAGGACGACCAGCCACACUGGGACUGAGACACGGCCCAGACUCCUACGGGAGGCAGCAGUGGGGAAUUUUGGACAAUGGGGGCAACCCUGAUCCAGCCAUUCCGCGUGUGCGAUGAAGGCCUUCGGGUUGUAAAGCACUUUUGGCAGGAAAGAAAUCGCACGGAUUAAUACUCUGUGUGGAUGACGGUACCUGCAGAAUAAGCACCGGCUAACUACGUGCCAGCAGCCGCCGUAA